Molecule: non-coding RNA, 102 nt
Organism: Potamilus streckersoni
Lineage: Eukaryota; Metazoa; Mollusca; Bivalvia; Unionida; Unionidae
Source: the annotation of a GenBank genome assembly
GGUUCAAGUGGCCUAGUGGUUAGAGCGUCCGCCUCGGAUGCGGGAGGUCGCGGGAAGCAUAUAUAUUAGUAUUCAUGGAUCAAUAAAUCCCACCAUUGAUCU